Molecule: small nucleolar RNA, 125 nt
Organism: Jaculus jaculus (lesser Egyptian jerboa)
Lineage: Eukaryota; Metazoa; Chordata; Mammalia; Rodentia; Dipodidae
Gene: SNORA63
Rfam family: Small nucleolar RNA SNORA63
About the family: E3 belongs to the H/ACA class of snoRNAs and is involved in the processing of eukaryotic pre-rRNA and has regions of complementarity to 18S rRNA.
Source: Ensembl
UAUCAAGAUUAAACUAUAAUAUAGCUGGCAUGUGCUAUAUUGUCAUCCCCCCUGCUUAAGAAAAUAUUGUUUCUUAACUAUACCUGACUGCUAUGUAGCAGCCAGGGAUGCUUCAUCUUAUACAU